GAUGAACGCUAGCGGCAGGCUUAAUACAUGCAAGUCGAGGGGCAGCAUAAGUAGCAAUACUUGAUGGCGACCGGCAAACGGGUGCGGAACACGUACGCAACCUUCCUUUAAGUGGGGAAUAGCCCGGGGAAACCCGGAUUAAUACCCCGUAAUAUUAUGAUGUGGCAUCACUUUAUAAUUAUAGAUUUAUCGCUUAAAGAUGGGCGUGCGCCUGAUUAGGUAGUUGGCGGGGUAACGGCCCACCAAGCCUGCGAUCAGUAACUGGUGUGAGAGCACGACCAGUCACACGGGCACUGAGACAUGGGCCCGACUCCUACGGGAGGCAGCAGUAAGGAAUAUUGGUCAAUGGACGCAAGUCUGAACCAGCCAUGCCGCGUGGA
RNAcentral lists this ribosomal RNA (380 nucleotides) under uncultured bacterium. RNAcentral's name for it is "bacterial SSU rRNA". It matches the Rfam family "Bacterial small subunit ribosomal RNA", at positions 28 to 405 of the family's 1533-position model. The record is from RNAcentral.